UCAACUUUAAUUAAACGCCAAACAAAAAGAAAGAAAACUCAUCACGGCGGCAUCGUUACACGUUGGUGGUGUUUGGUGAGGUUAAGUGAAACUUUCUCUAACUUGACACCUCAAAAUGAAUCUCUCCCCUUGUUGGACCGUCUUCGUCCUCUUCGCCAUUUUUAGCCUCACUGAGAGCCUGCGCUACCCCUUGCUAUCUUAUGACCGCGGUGCACCUCGGAGGCCGAGCGCAGCUUCGAGUUCCGUCCAGUCUCAUUUCCCUUCGCCGCAGCAGCAGGAGCAGCAGGAGGCUCGCUCUGCACGGGUGCUGGUAAGAUGUCACCCGGACUCUAUGGAGAUCGUGGUUCAGGCUGACUUGUUCGACACCGGCUUUCUGGUGGACCCGGAACAUCUACGCCUCGGUUCCGAGCCGGCGAGUGGAAGUGGGUCGUGCCGUGCUGGCCAGUAUGGAGAUGACUGGACGGUAACCAUAUGGGCCAACCUCCAGGACUGUGGAACUCGGCUCUCGUCAACACACGACAAGAUAAUCUAUUCAAAUGUGCUGGUCUACUCACCUGAGCCAUCAUCUGAAGGCUUGUUUCGACUGGAUGGGGCGACCAUUCCGGUCGAGUGCCAUUUUGACAAGAGGUAUUCUGUGGCAAGCAUGUCAUUGGGCCCUGCCUGGGUACCUUCAGUCCUGGUGGCCUCAGCAGAGAAUCGCAUAGACUUCAAACUGCGCCUCAUGACUGACGACUGGCUGUUUGAGAGGGGCUCGCAUGCGUAUUUUGUGGGCGACCCGAUGCAUUUCGAGGUGUCCGCUGUGAUCCGCAAACACAAGCCCUUGCGCGUCUUUGUGGACCGUUGCGUCGCUACGGCCGGCCCGGACCCGGAUGCUGCCUUAAGAUACGACUUUAUUGAGCGUAACGGAUGUCUCUAUGAUGCCUUCCUGACAAACUCCAGCUCUCACUUCCUGUCCAGGGUUGAAGGGCACAAGCUUCAAUUUCUGCUUGAAGCGUUCCGGUUCUACCAGCAGCACAACACUCAGGUUUACAUCACUUGCUGGUUGAGGGCAGUUCCAGACUCAUUAGGGGUGACCUCUCAAAGCAGGGCCUGCUCUUUUAUCAACAACAGAUGGUGGUCAGCAGAUGGGGAGCAUGAAACGUGUAGGACCUGUGAUCCAUUGGUCCCCGCGAAGGAAAAAACUGCUACUACCAAGAAGCUGACCACAAAUUUGGAACCAAGUUUUGCACAGAACAAACCCAAGCAACCAGUUUCCUUUUUGUGGGUACGCCCAGGACAAGUCGAAAUGCACAAAUCUCAGUGGCCCUCGUCUGGUCUAAAGAAAACUCACUACACAACAGAGGGACUUGUCCAGUUUGGACCGCUAACUGUUGAAUAAACAGUCUUUAAUAUUCGCCAGGACUUCCUCUCUGGUAGCGCAUGGAGAAGCUAAGAUGAACUACACUGAUGCUUGGAACAUGACCGGUCGAUUUCCUGGGCGCCUGUUUACUUUCAUAGCAAAUGAAUACGAAUAGCACAUGCGAGUGGGACAUGCUGAGAGCGAGAUGCUUCGCUCUGUACUCACGAUGAUGAUGAUUCAGUGACUCGUCUUCAAUACAUCCUGCAUCUUCUGCCCGCUUUUCACUGGCAAUGUUUUUCCAGCGAUACAAUAUGUUGUCUCUCCUCACAGUGUGCACUUUUCUUGGCACGCACUCCAUCCACCGAUGCAGACCUGCCCUUUGUCCGAACGACCAGGACUGCUGUCCCCGCGGAAACACUACCGCUUGUUGUGACCCCCUGGAGGAAACAUCCUACUACCACAUCACCAUGACCUCUGAACCCGGACCACGGCGGACACCCGGCCGUCACGACUUCCCAGGAGCUGCUGGUCGAGAGCUCCACGCCGGACAGCCUCCUGGAAGGCAGAACCACGGCUCAUCUGCCCACGUAUGAGCAGUGCAAGCAUCUA
Syngnathoides biaculeatus (alligator pipefish) is the source of this 1948-nucleotide RNA transcript. It is a transcript of the gene named zona pellucida sperm-binding protein 3-like, with no coding region annotated. NCBI's taxonomy places the organism in Eukaryota, Metazoa, Chordata, Actinopteri, Syngnathiformes, Syngnathidae. The transcript is spliced from 11 exons. The record is from RefSeq and is a predicted model, not a curated record.